Molecule: long non-coding RNA, 1408 nt
Organism: Rattus rattus (black rat)
Lineage: Eukaryota; Metazoa; Chordata; Mammalia; Rodentia; Muridae
Exons: 2
Source: RefSeq, a predicted model, not a curated record
ACAAAAUGAAUACCCCAUAUUCGUACCUUAGAAUUAACAAACACUAGGGAUGGAGAGGGGGGUUCAGUAAUUAAGAGCAGUGGCUUCCUAUCCAGAGGACCCAAAUUUGGUUCCCAGGAAUCAUAUCGUGGCUAAUAAGCAACUCUUACUCCAUUUCCAGGAGAUCUAGCCUCUAUUUGCACUGUAUGCACACAGGGCACAGACAUACCUGCAGGAAAAACACAUACUCAUGUGCCUAAAAUAAAAGUAAAAUCUCGAAAACAACUUAAAAACAUGAACUUUUUAUUUUGUUGCAAUUUUUAUAAAUAAAUUAUUUUCAUAAUCUUUACACAAAGACUCACUGAUUCCACAUAAUUCAUUCAAACCAAAACCAUUUGCAAAAUAUGCAGCAUACAAAAUUAACAUCUUUAAUUGAAUUCUUUCUUGUAAACCAUUAAGCAAAGAAAACCACAACAGUUAAAGAUGAGCAAAAGAUAAUAAAUAAGAAUAUCAUUUUGCUGUAAAAUCAAGUGUAAGUUAAUAUAAUGUAAUUAUCAGGUUUUGUCUACUAAAUCAGCUAGGCUUUACUAAUUAUAUAGCAUCUAAUGUUGGCAAAGACAGUGAGACAAAUAUUCAUACUCAUUGCGGGUAUGUUAAAAUUCAUAAACCAUCCAUUUGUGUGAAGACAAGUUAGUGACACAUAUAAAAGCCUUGACAUGUUCAUAAUACUUUAUCUGAUAACUAACUGCAUCUUAAGGGUGUGUUUCAGUGAAUUAGCCAGAGUUCUCUACAGUUAUUUAUCAAUUUAUUAUAAAGUCAGAAUUUUUAAAAUAGAACUAAGUAUUUAGAAAUUGACUGAUGAAACAAGACUGCUCUUCCAUUAUAAUAAAAUAUUCAGUUAAUAAGAUUAUAUGAAAAUGCUAUAUGAAGUUAUAUGUCUGUGGUGUGUGUAUGUGUAUGUAUGUGCGAAUCUAACUUUAAGGUUUUAUCCAUCUUUUCAUUAUGAGGAAUUAGGGUAUGAAUGCGGUCCUUGAAAAGAAAUCAAUAGGAACCAUGUCCAUAGAACAAAAUCCAGAAGCAAACUUACUAAUACUGAUAUAUUUUCUUUUUUAAAUGUUUAAUUACCACUUGUUUGUUUGGGGGUGGGGCUCAUGCAUGCCACAAGCAAAGAGGAACUGUCAUCUCCCACGAGGCUUACAGACUUCAAUAUUGAGAGCCACUCUAAUCCUCAAACUAAGGCACCGCUUUGGAUUGAUAGCUGCACAGUCUGAGGGUUCCGUCGCACACCUGUUGUGCAGAUCUUUCCGGACUUUGCAAAUUCACUUUGCUGAAUGAACUCAGAUUGGAAACAGUUGCUGCAAGCCAGUUUUUCUUUUUUAUCCUCCCCCAACCCGUGAAAGCCUAAGUGUAAAAUAUAUAUAUAACUUUA